This 450-nucleotide ribosomal RNA is filed under the name uncultured Glomeromycotina. RNAcentral's name for it is "SSU rRNA". It matches the Rfam family "Eukaryotic small subunit ribosomal RNA", at positions 569 to 1025 of the family's 1831-position model. Lineage: Eukaryota; Fungi; Glomeromycota. The record is from RNAcentral.
AGCAGCCGCGGUAAUUCCAGCUCCAAUAGCGUAUAUUAAAGUUGUUGCAGUUAAAAAGCUCGUAGUUGAAUUUCGGGAUCAAUAUGUUGGUCGUGCCUUGGUACGUACUGGCAUUAUUGGUUCCUACCUUCUGAAGAACCUCGAUGUCAUUAAUUUGGUGUCUUGGGGAAUCAGGACUGUUACUUUGAAAAAUUAGAGUGUUUAAAGCAGGCUCGCGCUUGAAUACAUUAGCAUGGAAUAAUGAAAUAGGACGUUUGAUUCUAUUUUGUUGGUUUCUAGGAUCGACGUAAUGAUUAAUAGGGAUAGUUGGGGGCAUUAGUAUUCAAUUGUCAGAGGUGAAAUUCUUGGAUUUAUUGAAGACUGACUACUGCGAAAGCAUUUGCCAAGGAUGUUUUCAUUAAUCAAGAACGAAAGUUAGGGGAUCGAAGACGAUCAGAUACCGUCGUAGUC